This 811-nucleotide ribosomal RNA is filed under the name uncultured bacterium. RNAcentral's name for it is "bacterial SSU rRNA". It matches the Rfam family "Bacterial small subunit ribosomal RNA", at positions 8 to 796 of the family's 1533-position model. The record is from RNAcentral.
AGAGUUUGAUCCUGGCUCAGAACAAACGCUGGCGGCGUGCCUAACACAUGCAAGUCGUACGAGAAAGGGUCCUUCGGGACCUGAGUAAAGUGGCGCACGGGUGAGUAACGCGUGGAUAAUCUGCCCUUCAGUUGGGAAUAACUCAUCGAAAGGUGGGCUAAUACCGAAUAAUACUGUGAGACCUCGGUCGAUCAGUCAAAGAGAGCCUCUGCUUGCAUGCCCUUGCUGAAGGAUGAGUCCGCGUACCAUUAGCUAGUUGGUAGGGUAAUGGCCUACCAAGGCGACGAUGGUUAGCUGGUCUGAGAGGAUGAUCAGCCACACUGGAACUGAGACACGGUCCAGACUCCUACGGGAGGCAGCAGUGAGGAAUCUUGCGCAAUGGGGGAAACCCUGACGCAGCAACGCCGCGUGAGUGAGGAAGGUCUUCGGAUUGUAAACUCCUGUCAGUGGGGAAAAAGGGGAACGGGCUCAUACCCCGUUUCAUUGAUUGUACCCGCAGAGGAAGCCCCGGCUAACUCUGUGCCAGCAGCCGCGGUAAUACAGAGGGGGCAAGCGUUAUUCGGAAUUAUUGGGCGUAAAGGGCGCGUAGGCGGCCCUUCAAGUGGUAGGUGAAAUCCCUCGGCUCAACCGAGGAGCUGCCCGCCAAACUGAAGAGCUUGAGUCCGGGAGAGGUGAGUGGAAUUCCCAGUGUAGCGGUGAAAUGCGUAGAUAUUGGGAGGAACACCAGUGGCGAAGGCGGCUCACUGGACCGGAACUGACGCUGAGGCGCGAAAGCGUGGGGAGCAAACGGGAUUAGAUACCCUGGUAGUCC